AGGGCACCACCAGGAGUGGAGCCUGCGGCUUAAUUUGACUCAACACGGGAAAUCUCACCAGGCCCGGACACCGGAAGGAUUGACAGAUUGAGAGCUCUUUCUUGAUUCGGUGGGUGGUGGUGCAUGGCCGUUCUUAGUUGGUGGAGCGAUUUGUCUGGUUAAUUCCGAUAACGAACGAGACUCCGGCCUACUAACUAGAUGGAGGAUCCCUUCGUGGGUUCUUCACUGCUUCUUAGAGGGACGGGCGGCGUUUAGCCGCACGAGAUUGAGCAAUAACAGGUCUGUGAUGCCCUUAGAUGUUCUGGGCUGCACGCGCGCUACACUGAAGGAAUCAGCGUGUCCUCCCCGCUCUGAAAAGAGUGGGUAACCCGUUGAAACUCCUUCGUGAUGGGGAUUGGAGAUUGUAAUUAUUCUCCAUGAACGAGGAAUUCCCAGUAGGCGCGAGUCAUCAGCUUGCGUCGAUUACGUCCCUGCCCUUUGUACACACCGCCCGUCGCUACUACCGAUCGAGUGAUUUAG
This 519-nucleotide ribosomal RNA is filed under the name uncultured eukaryote. RNAcentral's name for it is "SSU rRNA". It matches the Rfam family "Eukaryotic small subunit ribosomal RNA", at positions 1161 to 1701 of the family's 1831-position model. The record is from RNAcentral.